GACGAACGCUGGCGGCGUGCCUAACACAUGCAAGUCGAGCGAGCGGCGUACGGUUGAGUAAUGUCUGGAGCUCUGCCCUAUAGAGCGGGAUAACUACUGGAAACGGUUGCUAAUACCGCAUACUCUCGGAUGAACCCAUAUGGGAUUCGCUAGUAGGUGGGUGAAAGGCUCCCCUAGGCGACGAUCUCUAGCUGGUCUGAGAGGAUGAUCAGCCACACGGGGACUGAGACACGGCCCAGACUCCUAGGGGAGGCAGCAGUGGGGAAUAUUGCACAAUGGGCGCAAGCCUGAUGCAGCCAUGCCGCGUGGAUGAAGAAGGCCUUAGGGUUGUAAAGUACUUUCAGCGGGGAGGCGUUACCCGCAGAAGAAGCACCGGCUAACUACGUGCCAGCAGCCGCGGUAAUAC
RNAcentral lists this ribosomal RNA (406 nucleotides) under uncultured bacterium. RNAcentral describes it as "partial 16S ribosomal RNA". It matches the Rfam family "Bacterial small subunit ribosomal RNA", at positions 28 to 526 of the family's 1533-position model. The record is from RNAcentral.